This is a long non-coding RNA of Oryza brachyantha (malo sina), 1526 nucleotides long. RefSeq lists it as uncharacterized. The transcript has 7 exons. Lineage: Eukaryota; Viridiplantae; Streptophyta; Magnoliopsida; Poales; Poaceae. The record is from RefSeq and is a predicted model, not a curated record.
CCAGGCAGAGAGUGUACGCUUCCGGCCUCACCUACGAGUAGCUUCCUCCGCGUAGGACGACCGCCCGGCGAUGGGAAGGACGAAUCGCUGGAAUAUUCUCCCGUUAUCCGCCCCCAUCGCCGGCACCGGCAACCAUCGCGGCCACCGCAGCGGGGCGCGGGCGCGUCCCGUCGCCGACGAGGCGGCCGACCAGACAGUCCAUUAUUGAUGUCUCCAAGGUGCAAUUGAUGAUAUCUAAAGAAAAUAUGCCAGGGAGUAUAAGGAGGGGAUGUUUCUGGAAGUGGUGGUGUCUGGAUUUCCUACCCAAGUUGCUGACAACCAAGAUGAGGAUAAUGGCGAUAUGCUGAUUGUCAUCACCGAUAGAGACAGAUGCAAAAAUCUUAGGCCAUCUCUUGGAGGUCUACCGAAUAGAAAUCUUCUAUGGUGGUAGGGUAAAGUGUGUUUGUCAUACCGUGCAUCUGAUCCGCUCUCAGGCUGCAGUGACGAGAUUUUAAAGGAUCAUGCCCCGUCCAUAAUGUUCCCAAUUUGUCACUUUAUCCAUGGAAAAGCAAUGCUUUCAGUAUGCUCAAGAACCAAGCUUCGCAAAAGACAUUUCCAAUCCGGAGGGGCUCCUGUGGGGCGUGUUGCUCAGGCACGUCGACAGUAAAAGCCGGUCAGGAGGAUAAUCAGGGUGCCCACUGGAGCAGCUGCAGUUCUGCAGGAUGUGCAAAGCUGAGACCGACCGUCGCCAGGGUAUAAGAGAUGCGGAGAUAUUUUGGAACGACAGCUAGCUAUUUCAUUACAGAGAGAUACUAGCAUUACACAAUAAGCUGCUGCCUGCUGCAGCCAAAGUGGGAGGCACUGAAAUGCUACACGUUAGACAUGAUACUCUUUCGCUGGAGGAUUCUUCCUGAACGCCGCAAAGAAGGCCACCUGGAUGAAAAGGGCAAUGGAGGUGACUCAGUCAAGUUGAGCAAGGAACAAAUUCAGUAUGCAGCAGUAUAUAUUGGGUAAUCUUACAGCCAGGGAAGCAAAUGCAAAGUCCACCCCAAAACUGUUGAGGAUGCUAUUGCCGGGUUGCAGACUUGCAGUAGAACAGUAGAAUGCCAAGAGAAUGCGGAAGGUACAGCGCAGUUAUAAAAAGGGAAGAUGGGGAGCAACCGAGCAAGAAGGUGAAAGUUUGGUGGCUUGUACUUGUAAGGACCGGAAAAUCAAUCAACAACCUCACCUGUACCACCGCCAUCUUCAGAUUAAAAUGGCAGAGAAUUUCUUCACGAAAAUAACCCUUCCUGCGGGCAUGCAGGAAGGACAGUGCAAAGAGUAAAUAAGAGUACAUGCAUGCAAUUUUGCUGCGCAGAUCAGGGGGGGGGGGGGGGCACAGGCUUGCAGAGUGUGCAUAGUGUUUUAAUUCGAACAAAUCAACUAGCUAGAUCGCAAAAUCCUGUACUGGCCAUCAGAAUUCAGAACUAAGGAUCAAAUGCGAGCUGCCACUCUGAAAAGAGGCGGAGGAAAAGUUAUUCUCACAUUUUUUCUUUCACAGGGACCAC